UGACCUCGAAUCAGGUAGGAAUACCCGCUGAACUUAAGCAUAUCAAUAAG
RNAcentral lists this ribosomal RNA (50 nucleotides) under Erysiphe alphitoides. RNAcentral's name for it is "partial 28S ribosomal RNA". Lineage: Eukaryota; Fungi; Ascomycota; Leotiomycetes; Helotiales; Erysiphaceae. The record is from RNAcentral.